UUUAGUAUAAAAUCUAAGCUAAUAUCUUAUUUUAAUUUAUUUAUAAUUAUAUAAAUUAUAUAAAUAUGGUAAUUAUGUUCGUAAAAUAAGUGAUAUAUUUAAAUUUUAAAAAUAAAAAGCUAUUAACUGUCUCAAAUCAUAUAAAGUAAAGAUAAAAAUGUAUAAAACUUAUUUGAACUAUAAAUUAUUUUGAGUUGGCCACCCAACAUUUCAAAAUUUUGAUUUUACUAUUCUUUUAAUUUGUUUGAUUUGAGUCAGUCAACAGCAUUGUAACUGUAAAAUUUAAUGCAUUAUUUAUCUUUACAAGUUUAGUUAUCUAUUCCAUACAAUUCUUGCAACUAUAAAUUUAUUAAAAUAAUUAGCUAAAAUUUUGAAUUAAAAUAUCAUUAACUGAAUCGAAUCACAUAAAUUGAAAGGUUAGAUCGUAAACUCAAAUUUUGGAAUUAAGGUU
Molecule: long non-coding RNA, 451 nt
Filed under: Ananas comosus (pineapple)
Lineage: Eukaryota; Viridiplantae; Streptophyta; Magnoliopsida; Poales; Bromeliaceae
Description: long non-coding RNA (ACOM_LNC005045)
Source: RNAcentral